CUUGAGAAUUUCCAUUGACCCACCAUAUGGGAACCAUGGUUGUCAUUCCGGCAAGCCUAUGCCGUUCUGGACAGGGGUUCGAGUCCCCUCACCUCCACCUAAGCGUGGCGCAAGACGCGGCGCACUUAGGUGGGGGUGUAUCGGUUUCGACAGGGCGCGCAAAGGGGCGCAGGCAACUCGUCAGGCGAUCGACGCAAAUGAAGCAAAUCCAUAAACGCCAACGAUAAGCGUUUCGCACUGGCCGCCUAAGACCAACGCCGAGGCCGCUGAAGCCUUGUAACAGAAGACAGCCGGUGGGGACUUCGGUCUCCAUCGUCA
This 318-nucleotide transfer-messenger RNA is filed under the name Cupriavidus sp. USMAHM13. It matches the Rfam family "Betaproteobacteria transfer-messenger RNA". From Rfam's summary of the family: Bacterial tmRNA, also known as 10Sa RNA or SsrA, is named for its dual tRNA and mRNA-like properties. Its role is to liberate the mRNA from a stalled ribosome. Lineage: Bacteria; Pseudomonadati; Pseudomonadota; Betaproteobacteria; Burkholderiales; Burkholderiaceae. The record is from RNAcentral.